This 1674-nucleotide ribosomal RNA is filed under the name Escherichia coli. RNAcentral's name for it is "partial 23S ribosomal RNA". It matches the Rfam family "Bacterial large subunit ribosomal RNA", at positions 1289 to 2925 of the family's 2925-position model. The record is from RNAcentral. Lineage: Bacteria; Pseudomonadati; Pseudomonadota; Gammaproteobacteria; Enterobacterales; Enterobacteriaceae.
UGCGAAUGCUGACAUAAGUAACGAUAAAGCGGGUGAAAAGCCCGCUCGCCGGAAGACCAAGGGUUCCUGUCCAACGUUAAUCGGGGCAGGGUGAGUCGACCCCUAAGGCGAGGCCGAAAGGCGUAGUCGAUGGGAAACAGGUUAAUAUUCCUGUACUUGGUGUUACUGCGAAGGGGGGACGGAGAAGGCUAUGUUGGCCGGGCGACGGUUGUCCCGGUUUAAGCGUGUAGGCUGGUUUUCCAGGCAAAUCCGGAAAAUCAAGGCUGAGGCGUGAUGACGAGGCACUACGGUGCUGAAGCAACAAAUGCCCUGCUUCCAGGAAAAGCCUCUAAGCAUCAGGUAACAUCAAAUCGUACCCCAAACCGACACAGGUGGUCAGGUAGAGAAUACCAAGGCGCUUGAGAGAACUCGGGUGAAGGAACUAGGCAAAAUGGUGCCGUAACUUCGGGAGAAGGCACGCUGAUAUGUAGGUGAAGUCCCUCGCGGAUGGAGCUGAAAUCAGUCGAAGAUACCAGCUGGCUGCAACUGUUUAUUAAAAACACAGCACUGUGCAAACACGAAAGUGGACGUAUACGGUGUGACGCCUGCCCGGUGCCGGAAGGUUAAUUGAUGGGGUCAGCGCAAGCGAAGCUCUUGAUCGAAGCCCCGGUAAACGGCGGCCGUAACUAUAACGGUCCUAAGGUAGCGAAAUUCCUUGUCGGGUAAGUUCCGACCUGCACGAAUGGCGUAAUGAUGGCCAGGCUGUCUCCACCCGAGACUCAGUGAAAUUGAACUCGCUGUGAAGAUGCAGUGUACCCGCGGCAAGACGGAAAGACCCCGUGAACCUUUACUAUAGCUUGACACUGAACAUUGAGCCUUGAUGUGUAGGAUAGGUGGGAGGCUUUGAAGUGUGGACGCCAGUCUGCAUGGAGCCGACCUUGAAAUACCACCCUUUAAUGUUUGAUGUUCUAACGUGGACCCGUGAUCCGGGUUGCGGACAGUGUCUGGUGGGUAGUUUGACUGGGGCGGUCUCCUCCUAAAGAGUAACGGAGGAGCACGAAGGUUGGCUAAUCCUGGUCGGACAUCAGGAGGUUAGUGCAAUGGCAUAAGCCAGCUUGACUGCGAGCGUGACGGCGCGAGCAGGUGCGAAAGCAGGUCAUAGUGAUCCGGUGGUUCUGAAUGGAAGGGCCAUCGCUCAACGGAUAAAAGGUACUCCGGGGAUAACAGGCUGAUACCGCCCAAGAGUUCAUAUCGACGGCGGUGUUUGGCACCUCGAUGUCGGCUCAUCACAUCCUGGGGCUGAAGUAGGUCCCAAGGGUAUGGCUGUUCGCCAUUUAAAGUGGUACGCGAGCUGGGUUUAGAACGUCGUGAGACAGUUCGGUCCCUAUCUGCCGUGGGCGCUGGAGAACUGAGGGGGGCUGCUCCUAGUACGAGAGGACCGGAGUGGACGCAUCACUGGUGUUCGGGUUGUCAUGCCAAUGGCACUGCCCGGUAGCUAAAUGCGGAAGAGAUAAGUGCUGAAAGCAUCUAAGCACGAAACUUGCCCCGAGAUGAGUUCUCCCUGACCCUUUAAGGGUCCUGAAGGAACGUUGAAGACGACGACGUUGAUAGGCCGGGUGUGUAAGCGCAGCGAUGCGUUGAGCUAACCGGUACUAAUGAACCGUGAGGCUUAACCUUACAACGCCGAAGGUGUUU